AACGAACGCUGGCGGCAUGCCUAACACAUGCAAGUCGAACGAGACCUUCGGGUCUAGUGGCGCACGGGUGCGUAACGCGUGGGAAUCUGCCCUUGGGUUCGGAAUAACAGCGAGAAAUUGCUGCUAAUACCGGAUGAUGACGUAAGUCCAAAGAUUUAUCGCCCAAGGAUGAGCCCGCGUAGGAUUAGCUAGUUGGUGAGGUAAAGGCUCACCAAGGCGACGAUCCUUAGCUGGUCUGAGAGGAUGAUCAGCCACACUGGGACUGAGACACGGCCCAGACUCCUACGGGAGGCAGCAGUGGGGAAUAUUGGACAAUGGGCGAAAGCCUGAUCCAGCAAUGCCGCGUGAGUGAUGAAGGCCUUAGGGUUGUAAAGCUCUUUUACCCGGGAUGAUAAUGACAGUACCGGGAGAAUAAGACUCCGGCUAACUCCGUGCCAGCAGCCGCGGUAAU
This 451-nucleotide ribosomal RNA is filed under the name uncultured bacterium. RNAcentral's name for it is "bacterial SSU rRNA". It matches the Rfam family "Bacterial small subunit ribosomal RNA", at positions 29 to 524 of the family's 1533-position model. The record is from RNAcentral.